RNAcentral lists this ribosomal RNA (900 nucleotides) under uncultured bacterium. RNAcentral describes it as "bacterial SSU rRNA". It matches the Rfam family "Bacterial small subunit ribosomal RNA", at positions 44 to 945 of the family's 1533-position model. The record is from RNAcentral.
GGGGAAGCUAACUGCAGUCGAACGGGGUAUAUAAGCGGAAUUUACGGAUGGAAGGUUAUAUACUUAGUGGCGGACGGGUGAGUAACGCGUGGGCAACCUGCCCCGUGCCGGGGGAUACCGCCUGGAAACAGGCGCUAAUACCGCAUAAGCGCAUACAGCCGCAUGGGUGUAUGCGGAAAGCUCCGGCGGCACGGGAUGGGCCCGCGCCCGAUUAGCCAGUUGGCGGGGUAACGGCCCACCAAAGCGACGAUCGGUAGCCGGCCUGAGAGGGCGGACGGCCACAUUGGGACUGAGACACGGCCCAAACUCCUACGGGAGGCAGCAGUGGGGAAUAUUGCACAAUGGGGGAAACCCUGAUGCAGCAACGCCGCGUGGGUGAAGGAGCGUUUCGGCGCGUAAAGCCCUGUCAGCGGGGAAGAAGAAAGACGGUACCCGACCAAGAAGCCCCGGCUAACUACGUGCCAGCAGCCGCGGUAAUACGUAGGGGGCGAGCGUUAUCCGGAAUUACUGGGUGUAAAGGGAGCGUAGACGGCGAGGUAAGCCUGAAGUGGAAGCCCGCGGCCCAACCGCGGAACUGCUUUGGGAACUGUUUUGCUGGAGUAUGGGAGGGGUAAGCGGAAUUCCUGGUGUAGCGGUGAAAUGCGUAGAUAUCAGGAGGAACACCGGUGGCGAAGGCGGCUUACUGGACCAUAACUGACGUUGAGGCUCGAAAGCGUGGGGAGCGAACAGGAUUAGAUACCCUGGUAGUCCACGCCGUAAACGAUGAUUACCAGGUGUCGGGUGUCGAAAGACGGCCGGUGCCGCAGCGAACGCAGUAAGUAAUCCACCUGGGGAGUACGUUCGCAAGAAUGAAACUCAAAGGAAUUGACGGGGACCCGCACAAGCGGUGGAGCAUGUGGU